CUCCCCCAGAGCCCGCCUGCUCCAGGUCGCUGCCUGCAGCUCCGAGCUACCUGAGUGCCAGCGUGUCCCGCGGACCGCGCUUUCCCUCUGUACUUUCAAUAAAUACUCUGCUUCAGAGACGCCGAUUCCUACAAUGGAAAGACUCUUUUCGACUACCUGGAUCGUGGGAAGCUUGCCUAAGUACCCGAGAUAAGUCUGAAUGCAGAAGGCAAAGAAUUGAUCAACCUAUAUGUAAAUUCUGUCUGUGGUGGGCUUUUUUUGUUUUGUUUUUGGUUUUUGGGGGGUGGUUUUUUGUUUGUUUGUUUGUUUUUGUGGGGGUGGAGUCGGGUUGGGGGGAGGGGUGGUUUGUUUGUUUCAAAAGUUACUAAUCAAUAAAACCCUCCCGGUAUUGAUUACAUUCCUGCCACGGUCUCUCAGACGAGCACCGAGCCUGAACCGCCUUCAAGUGAGAUGUAACAUGUGACGGAGCCAGAAACUUUCAGCGGUGACAGGAUUGUGGGUUUUUUUCCCGUGAGGAUGGACACGGAGAGGCCGCGCCGGAGCGGAGGGGAGCGGGUCGGGCCGGGCUGCUUCGCUCCGCUCCGGGCUGGCCGGUCCCGGGCCACUCCCGCUCCUCGCCGCGGGGCUGGGGCCCCGCCGUGUGGGGAUCAGACUGAUGGGGGCUGCCGUCAGGUAGGGCUGAAUCAGACGACCUUACAUCAUCUUUCUUCACCUGGAAGAUCACCCUCACACCCCGCCCCAGAACCUGAAGAUCAUCUCCGCGAGUAGAAGCCCGUUAGGGCAGUCCUUUUUGUUGUUGUGUUGGUGGGUUUGUUACUUUUUUUUUUUCCUUGCAGCCUGCCUCUCUGUUAUAGGGGCUGAGCAAAUCGGGGGCAAAUACGUCAGUGGUGCGGGGAGAGAAACGCAGAUGCCCAUUGCGCUUCACAUUAAUUUUCCCCCCUUAGCCGGGCCCGUUUCUCUCCAGCCACGAGCUGGUGCGCAGCAGAGCAGCAAUUCCCAUGUCUGUCUGUCUGUCUGUCCGCCACUGGCCUGAGCUGCGCGUUACCUCUGUCCCCAUCCCUUCCCCCAGCCUCCAGCCAAACAAAGGUGGGCGACGCUUUUCUUCUGCUCCUAAAGGCAGUUGGUGAGCAGCUUUCCUGAAACAAUAACUCUCUUAUUGAGAACAAAUGUUGACAUUUGCAGGGAGCGAGGAAAGAGGCAGCCCAGGAAGUGUAAAGUGGAAAGGGACCCUCUUCCUAUUUGACGACAGCACCAAUUCCUCCGGGAUCCCACCUGAGAUUAAAGCCCGAAUUUCAAUAAAUCAGCUCUAAUGAAACCUCUGGCCCCGAACAGGGAAGGGUUUGCCUUUCCUGCUCCAAAAUGAGCACAGAAACGAGGGGCGGGGGGUGGGGAGAAGAAGGAGUAAAUAUAGAAAGGGGUGUGAGAUUUUAAUCCCAGCGGGCUCAUUAGCAUCGUUAUGAAAUAAACCAUACACAGAGUGAUGUA
Catharus ustulatus (Swainson's thrush) is the source of this 1485-nucleotide long non-coding RNA. RefSeq lists it as uncharacterized. The transcript has 2 exons. Lineage: Eukaryota; Metazoa; Chordata; Aves; Passeriformes; Turdidae. The record is from RefSeq and is a predicted model, not a curated record.